Molecule: ribosomal RNA, 433 nt
Filed under: uncultured bacterium
Lineage: Bacteria
Description: partial 16S ribosomal RNA
Rfam family: Bacterial small subunit ribosomal RNA
Source: RNAcentral
AACGAACGCUGGCGGCAUGCCUAACACAUGCAAGUCGAACGAGACCUUCGGGUCUAGUGGCGCACGGGUGCGUAACGCGUGGGAACCUGCCCUUAGGUUCGGAAUAACUCCCCGAAAGGGGUGCUAAUACCGGAUAAUGUCUUCGGACCCAAGAUUUAUCGCCUUUGGAUGGGCCCGCGUUGGAUUAGCUAGUUGGUAGGGUAAAAGCCUACCAAGGCGACGAUCCAUAGCUGGUCUGAGAGGAUGAUCAGCCACACUGGGACUGAGACACGGCCCAGACUCCUACGGGAGGCAGCAGUGGGGAAUAUUGGACAAUGGGCGAAAGCCUGAUCCAGCAAUGCCGCGUGAGUGAUGAAGGCCUUAGGGUUGUAAAGCUCUUUUACCCGGGAUGAUAAUGACGGUACCGGGAGAAUAAGCGCCGGCUAACUCCGUG